RNAcentral lists this ribosomal RNA (389 nucleotides) under uncultured bacterium. RNAcentral describes it as "bacterial SSU rRNA". It matches the Rfam family "Bacterial small subunit ribosomal RNA", at positions 29 to 419 of the family's 1533-position model. The record is from RNAcentral.
AUUAAACGCUGGCGGCAUGCCUUACACAUGCAAGUCGAACGGCAGCACGGGGGCAACCCUGGUGGCGAGUGGCGGACGGGUGAGUAAAGCAUCGGAACGUAUCCUGGAGUGGGGGGAUAACGUAGCGAAAGUUACGCUAAUACCGCAUAUUCUGUGAGCAGGAAAGCAGGGGAUCGCAAGACCUUGCGCUCUGGGAGCGGCCGAUGUCGGAUUAGCUAGUUGGUGGGUAAAGGCCUACCAAGGCGACGAUCCGUAGUGGGUCUGAGAGGAUGAUCCGCCACACUGGGACUGAGACACGGCCCAGACUCCUACGGGAGGCAGCAGUGGGGAAUUUUGGACAAUGGGCGGAAGCCUGAUCCAGCCAUGCCGCGUGAGUGAAGAAGGCCUUC